Molecule: small nuclear RNA, 91 nt
Filed under: Echinops telfairi (small Madagascar hedgehog)
Lineage: Eukaryota; Metazoa; Chordata; Mammalia; Afrosoricida; Tenrecidae
Source: RNAcentral
GUGCUCGCUUUGGCAGCACAUAAGAGUAAAAUUGGAAUGAUUCAGAGAAGAUUAGGAUGACACGCAAAUUUGUGAAGCAUUCCAUAUUUUA